CUUCACCGACCCCAGCCACAAAAGCCGUUCGGCCCGCUCACGCCCGUACGUCGCCAGCAGCGCCUGCGCCUC
This 72-nucleotide antisense RNA is filed under the name Streptomyces rubellomurinus subsp. indigoferus. Its description in RNAcentral is "ASpks sRNA". It matches the Rfam family "ASpks TB sRNA". Lineage: Bacteria; Bacillati; Actinomycetota; Actinomycetes; Kitasatosporales; Streptomycetaceae. The record is from RNAcentral.